UGGCUGGUGGGAUCAAUGUCCUUAUAA
RNAcentral lists this unclassified non-coding RNA (27 nucleotides) under Mus musculus (house mouse). Its description in RNAcentral is "oocyte_clustered_small_RNA12692". The record is from RNAcentral. Lineage: Eukaryota; Metazoa; Chordata; Mammalia; Rodentia; Muridae.